UUGGAGGGCAAGUCUGGUGCCAGCAGCCGCGGUAAUUCCAGCUCCAAUAGCGUAUAUUAAAGUUGUUGCAGUUAAAAAGCUCGUAGUUGAAUUUCGGGGUCAGCAGGUUGGUCGUGCCAAUGGUAUGCACUGGCCUUGCUGAUUCCUCCCUCUUGAUGAGCCGUAAUGCCAUUAAUUUGGUGUUGCGGGGAAUCAGGACUGUUACUUUGAAAAAAUUAGAGUGUUUAAAGCAGGCAAGCGCUUGAAUACAUUAGCAUGGAAUAAUGAAAUAGGACGUUUGAUCCUAUUUUGUUGGUUUCUAGGAUUGACGUAAUGAUUAAUAGGGAUAGUUGGGGGCAUUAGUAUUCAAUUGUCAGAGGUGAAAUUCUUGGAUUUAUUGAAGACUAACUACUGCGAAAGCAUUUGCCAAGGAUGUUUUCAUUAAUCAAGAACGAAAGUUAGGGGAUCGAAGACGAUCAGAUACCGUCGUAGUCUUAACCAUAAACUAUGCCGACUAGGGAUCGGAUGAUGUUAAUUUUUUAAUGACUCAUUCGGCGCCUUACGGGAAAC
This 549-nucleotide ribosomal RNA is filed under the name uncultured Glomus. RNAcentral's name for it is "SSU rRNA". It matches the Rfam family "Eukaryotic small subunit ribosomal RNA", at positions 548 to 1098 of the family's 1831-position model. Lineage: Eukaryota; Fungi; Glomeromycota; Glomeromycetes; Glomerales; Glomeraceae. The record is from RNAcentral.